Molecule: non-coding RNA, 77 nt
Filed under: uncultured eukaryote
Lineage: Eukaryota
Source: RNAcentral
GGGCCCAAAUUCGUUUGUUUCUUCUCUGAUUUUUCUUUGUUUUUCUUUGUUUUCACAAUCACCUGCCCAAUCAAUCC